Unclassified non-coding RNA from Pongo abelii (Sumatran orangutan), 117 nucleotides. It matches the Rfam family "Metazoan signal recognition particle RNA". Rfam says of the family: The signal recognition particle (SRP) is a universally conserved ribonucleoprotein. It is involved in the co-translational targeting of proteins to membranes. The record is from Ensembl. Lineage: Eukaryota; Metazoa; Chordata; Mammalia; Primates; Hominidae.
GCCAGGCAUGGUGGCUCAUGCCUGUAAUCCCAGCACUUUGGGAGGCCGAGGCAGGUGGAUCGCCUGAGGUCAGGAGUUUGAGACCAGCCUGGCCAACAUGGUGAAACCCUGUCUCUA